Tympanuchus pallidicinctus (lesser prairie-chicken) is the source of this 7483-nucleotide long non-coding RNA. RefSeq lists it as uncharacterized. The transcript is spliced from 2 exons. Lineage: Eukaryota; Metazoa; Chordata; Aves; Galliformes; Phasianidae. The record is from RefSeq and is a predicted model, not a curated record.
CUUCGGCCCACGGAGCCGAGCGCGUUCCACCGCCUCCUCCUUCUUUCCCUCCCUCCCUCCGCCGCUCGGGAGCGUAGCGCUUCCCCACGCCGCUCUUCCUUCCCUCCACCCCCUGCCGCUCCUCCCUUUUCUCCCCCUGCCCGCUCCGGGCCCCCUCCUCCCUCCCCGCCCGGCUUCGCUCCCUCCCCCGUCUCCCGGGGGUCUAACCGAGCUGCCCCCCCUCCACACCCCGGCACCGCGCCCCUUUCCCCGGGCCGUGCCGGGGAUUACGCGCAAAUCGCCUCGGCCUUAAGCCUGUUUGCGGCCGCUCGGGCUGUCGGGGAGCUCCCGGGGAGUGCGGACGGCCCUUCACGCCGCUUCCCAGCUGCCGCGGACCGCACCGGCCCGCGACCCCCGGCCCUCAUCGAACGAGCUUCGAGCUCUCUACCCUCGCAGGAGGGGCCCGAGGAGGUGAGAGCAUAAGGGGCAGCCCUACUGAGCAACCCCUUAUUGGGGGAUCUGGGCGCAGCAGCUGGUCCCGAGUGUAGGGCAAGGACUGCGACGUAGUCCUUCGAGGCAUGGGUCGGGACGCGAUCCGUGGCUGGGACGUGGGCUGGGACAUGGGCCCUGCAUUAAAGGCAGAGCAAAGGUGGACACCGUGUGCAUCCAUUUCUGGGGGCACCACGCCUUAAGGAGCAGCACAUUUCUCUGCCCUCCAACCAAGCCUUUUAUUAACAUACAGUGUUCACUUGGAGGCUUCUCAGUUUACGAGUUACCAGCAUACCCUUGAACACCAGCCAGCGUCUCAUGGCUCUUCAAGUGGAUCUCGUGUCUCCUACAAACUCAACACUUUCACUGAUUAUUUUUUUUUCCUCUUGCUGUACAGUAGGGUAUGUGAAAGAGCAGAAUUUCAGAGGAGAUAGGAAAAGAAGCUCCAUCACCAUGUGAAGCCACACUGUUCUUUUCUCCAGCUUUUCUGUGUUACUUUCAUUCCAGCCCUCCCUUUUGAGUUCGCAGCUGCCAGGUUUGAUCUCAGAAAGCAACCUUUGGGUUGUCUACUUGGUAAGUGCAAACAUCGAGUUGGAAUUCACAAGAACAGAAGAAAGGAAAUUGCAUUGCUGAUAUUUAAAGAUACGUUCAUUUUCUUUGUGGUUUUAGGCUUUCAUGCAGAGCAUUGGGAUACUGCAAACUGAGAGUAGGUUACAAAAAGUAGCGUGUGUACUAUUGCCUCUCCUGCCCUCCCACUCAAUAAAAAGGUGAAAUGCCUUCUGUAUUUUACUAAGCCUACAGAGUAUCUUACUAAGUUAAAAUGGUCCACCACUAACUCGAGCCCAAAGAAGUGCUGCAGUGGCAUAGAUCAUCGGGGGACUGAAACUGCUGCAGCUCUUCCAGCGGUAGAAAAAUGAACGAUUUUUGUUGAAUGUAAGUUUAUGAGUGGUCUGUUGAUGAAUUGCUUUUGCUGUAAGGCUGUAACCUCAGAAGGGAGCAAACCAGAUGACUGACAGCCGGUUACUUUUUUGAUGAUGGUGAGAAAUUGCAUGUGGUUGUCCAAGGAUGUCUGGUCUCCUUCCUUUUACCCCCAGGUGAGAGACACUGCUAAGGAAUGCCAUCCUACAAAGGGCUGUAGACUAAGAAUUGGUGUCAGAGUCAUAUUAGCUCCUCUACUUACCACGUGAUGCACUGAAGGACCACACAUGACUGCUGUUUUGUACCCUUUGACAUCAUCCAGCCUCUUUAGCCAUGGCCAUGCUUUGUGGCAGAAGUGGUCUGCUAUUAAGUAUUUGUCAUCCUUGUACCUUGCUGAACCACAAAAACCAAAAACAAGAAACAAGACUCUUAUUUAAGUUACUUCUUCAGAUCCAGCCCUACACAUAUUCUGCUACCUUGAAGUUCAAACAGGUUCUUGGUGUCCCUUUUGCACCAUUUUUUUGUUUCAUAUGCCCUAAAUCUUACAGCUGUGACUAGAUAGAUACACAAUUUUGUUCACCUCAUUUCAUCCCCUGGAGUUCAAAACUUGGUUUCCAUUAGUGGAAAGCUAGUAUAGGCCCCCGAAGAAUACAACAACCUACUUAAGCUUAAGGUGUGUUUCAAGGUCGUGUUGGAUAAGGAGGAAAGAAAUCAGCUCCUACUAGCUAAUGAAAACUGCAAUGUCAUUUCAGAUCAGACCUGCCAGUUUGGGCUCCAAAAUGCCAAAUUUGUUUUUUCACUUCUUUCUGUUCAGGGGAUGGAUUCAAACCUGCUGACAAGCCUGCCCUUAGUGAUUUCCCCUCAUGUGAGCUUUUCUCACCCUAUCUGAGAGCCCCAUUUUACAGAGACCAAGGUCUGUGAACUGUUUGACAGAACUAAUGGAAAAUCACAGGCCGAGUACUCCUCCAAAAAAUGUAAUUCUGUCAAAGCAGACAUGGAAUUUGAGGACAAGUGUCAAAACCACAGGAUUUUUUAAUUUUAUUUUGAUUUUAUUUUAUUUUUUUUUUUUUAGGGGCAUGCUGCUAUGUUUUCAGAGGGGCAAGAGAACUGAAGACAAGGGAACUUAGGUCGAGGAGGUGCUGCCCACUAAAAUAAACCGUGGCACCUGUCCCCUGGAGGAAGGGGGGUGGUGGUUUGGGAGGAAACCUUCCCAGAGGUCUACGGUUCAACCAGAUGGUUGAAUGGCCUUUUCCUACCUUAACGAUUCUAUGAGUCCAUAAUUCAGAGAGCGAUCUUCACAGCUGGCCUGGGAGCAGGAAGUGAGCAUAUAGCUGAUCUGCCAAACUGCAUCAAAACAUCUCCAACGCAGCCUGGGGGUUUGUUUCAUUUCAUCCUGUUUUUUUGACUUCGUUCCAAGUUGUGUUUCUGUGUGUUGUUUUUAUUUUCUUUUCCUUCAAGUUUUUUUGCACUUAGUCUAGACGUUUGGGUUUGAAUUUCUCAGUAGUCCGCUGUAUAUGCUGCGUUCAAAGAUGUCUCAUAUCCUUCUGUCUCUUCUGUUCCCUGCCCUUAAUGACUCAGUGAGAACUGGAUCAACAAAGCGAACGCUUCAUUACUGACUUUUGUUUUUAACAUGAAACGCAUUGAAAAUAGUAACACAUGCCUGCUUUCUCUAAGCAAAAUAUUUUGGCUGUGUUGGACAUGCUGAAACAUACAGAUUUUGAAAUCAGUGCAAAUGUUGUGUUUAGACAUUCACAAGAAAACCCCCAUCUCUUGAAGUAUUUCCAUUCUUCAUGGGGAAAAGAAAAAAAAAAAAUUUCAAUUGAAGAACUUGUCAUUUUCUCUCCCUAAAUUGAGGCAGAAAGACCUUAAAACAAUGAUUUUUUCAUGGUUUUUUUUUCCUGCAUGUUUUUGCCAGCAUUGCCUUUAGCGUGUACCACAUAAAGAAUAUAUGCUAAUGUUCAUCAACUGAUGCUAGCAUCAAAUUUCCUUCUUUUCUUGGCACAUAACACACACGCCUACUUUGAGUAAAUUCUUCAAGGAAAUGUUGCUCAUUCUCCUCAUAGGAGAUAUGCCAGUUGGAUUCUUUUCUGUUAAGCAAUUUUGGAUAACAUCCAAAGGUAAGGUUUGAUCAACGUGGUAACUGGGUAGUUCCUGCCAGACAGAUAGGUGCUAAUAACAGCCCACAGGAAAUGGAUUACAAGCAGAGAAAAAAGCACUUAGUUUUCAACCCUUCAGAUAGAGCCAAAGUGACACAGCGGGUUAAGAAACACAUUUAAAACUAAAGGUAUAUUUUAUUAUUGGCAAAAUCCUGAUACCUGUCUUGAAGCCCACUGCUUUCUCUUUGCGAGGGCGUUCAGACAAAAUGCUGUAGAAGUUCUGGAUUUCUCCCACUUCGCAGUGUCUGUUGCUUGGGAAUAUUUCAUGCUAGGAACCUGAAAAAAUGCUUUCGCCCACACUUCCUUCACAGACUUUUUCCACCUUGUGCUUUUUCUUGUUAUUAUUAUUCCUCUUGUUACUGUAAUUGCUGCUUCUGUGUGUAUCUGUACAAGACAGGACGCUUUUAAACAGUUCCCCAGUGUUUUCGGUGUCACAAGGUGGAAGUUAUUAAUGCAGCUGGCAGGAAUGUGUCUAUUGCCUUAGGGAAGGGCUGCAGGAAGAAAUCUCAGGCAGAAGAAAGCCCUGCCCUCGGAAAAGCAUUUUAGUGAAGGACCAGCAGAGGUAUGGAGGGACAAUCCACCUGCCACUUCAUUGCCUUCUUCUCAUUUUAUUUCCCCUUCUCAGUAUUUUUUUGCAGAUGCUAGCAUCUCCUACUUGCUUUGUGGUUCUAUUGACUUUAUUCAGAGAUAUCUAGCAGGAGGUUGAUGUGUUUCUCAUUCAGUAUUAUCAGGUGCAUUAGGAAAAGUGUUAACACCAGGUUGCAUGUUUACGGCCUCAAGUUGUGCCAGGAGAGAUUCAGAUUGGACGUUAGGAAAAAUUUCUUCUUCAAAGGUGUGGCUAGAUGUUGGAAUGGGCUGCCCAAUGGUGGAGUCACCCUCCCUGGAGGCGUUCAAAAAACAUUUAGAUGUCGUACUGAGGGACAUGGUUUAGUGGGGAAAUACUGGUGGUAGGUGGACGGUUGGACUGAUGAUUUUGGAGGUUUUUUCCAACCUUGAUGAUUUCAUGAUUCUGUCAUUGAAGAGAGACAAUCUUUCCCUUCUAGUCAACACUGGUGAGGAUGCACUUCGUGUUCUGGGUCCCUCAGACAUGCAUGGACGUACUGAAGAGUGUUCAAGAGAAGGACACCAAAAUGGCAAGUGCCAGGAGUACUCCUGCUAUGAGGAAGGGCUGAGAGAGCCAGGGCUGCUCGGCUGGAGAAGAGGGGAUGUCAUCAAUGUCCAUAAAUGUCUGAAGGAAAGGUGCCAAGAGGCUACAGCCAGGCUCUGUCAGUGGUGCCCGGUGCCAGACCCAGAGGCCAUGGGCACAAACUGGAGCACAGAAGGUUCCCUCUGAACACCAGGAGCCCUCCUGUGUUGUGCAUUGGCAGAGCACUGGCACAGGCUGCACAGAGGCUGUGGGGUCUCUGCCUUGGGGAUCUCCCAAAGCUGCCUGGACGUGGCCCUGGGCACCCUGCUCUGGGUGUCCCUACAAGGGCUGGAGCAGAGGGACCCAGAAGUCCUGCUAGCCUCAGCUGUGCUGCAGUUCUGUGAUCCUGUAAUUCCACCCCUUUGACUCCCUGAAAAUCAGCAGAUAAAAAACACAUUGAAGCGUGGACAGCUGCAGGUGGUGAUUUAUUCAACUGCCACUGACAUUCACUAAUUACUCUACUGGUGGCACUGUUUUUGGACAUGAUAACUUAAGUGAAGUGAGUAGAAUCACUUGUGUUCAUAUUAAUACAUUGUUGAUUCAAGGUUUUCCACAAAUGAUUUCAUAAAAAUACCACUGGAAAGGUAUAAGAAUGUCCAUAUGAAAAUGAGAAGUCGUUCUCUCCAUCCUUGUAGCCAAGGCAGCUCCAACUGCAUCUGUACCAUCCUGAAGUGGCAUUGCCUGUUCAAACAUUCACAACUGAGACUUUCUGUCCUUCUGGAGAAUGUAAUCAGUGAACGACUUAAAUCUGCAGGGCUGAAAUUUUCAUCUCAUUCCUGUGAAUACAGAAAAGGGCCCAUUCCUUGCCUCUUUAUUAAUAAUUCUGUGGGCCUCUUGAGGCUACUAUGACACAUUUCUUCCCUGGAGAAAACCACCCCCAUUCUCCUCUCACCACUGAACUCCCAGUGUAUGCUUCCAGAGCUGACACCUGUGUCUCACUUGACUUGAGAGUUUCAUGGGAUCAUUAUCCAGCUCAGUCCUCCCAUUUAAUCUCUUAAACCUGAGUGGGCUUGCAGGUGUAAUUACCAUGAAUUAUGACUGGUCAUCCUUACUGCUGAUAGGGAUGUUGAACCAUUCCUCCAGUUCACAUGUGAGCCAGAACUAACCCUAAUCAGUUGUCAUCUGUUCCGUGAGUUCUUUGGAAUACUUCAGGUGAAACAUGGGUUCCUGGGAAAAUGGCACAUCAUUAUCAAAAGCUUUUGUAAAUUGAUGUACACAGUGAGUAGCCAAUCUACUGGUCUGUUCCGUCAUCACAGAAAGAAGUUGGGUUAGUUUGACUUUAUUUGUCCUUCAACAAGCCAUGUUUGCUGUUCCUUUCCAUGUUGUAAGUACUCACGAACAUUUUAUUUUCAUUUCAAGGAGUGCUGAAGCUUAUUUAAUGGAUCAGUUCUUCCUUUUGCUCCUAUUUUUUAAGUUUCACUUCACGAUACAAGAACAACAAGCUGAAAGGAGGUAAUAGCGAGGUGGAAGUUGGCCUCUUCUCCCAGCAAACAAACUAUAAGGCUUCUCUGGCUAUUGAGCAGAAGAAACAUAUGGAGACAGAAUUAUCCCAGUGGAGUUUUCUUUGCUAGCAGAAGUGAGAGGAAGAAGCCACAAGAUGAGUGUAUAAAAACAGCCAUAGCGUCAUCUAGAACAAGUAAGAGGAACUCGUAGCCAGGGUUCUGUUUUCUUUUAAGGCAAGUUAGAGCAUAUUGAAUCAAAUACUAUUGUCAUAGAAAAAAGUAGAAAACUUUUUCACAGCGUUCAUGGUCAUAGCUUUGUAUACUGAGAGGUGUAUUCUUACUUCUAAGCACACCGUUUGUCCCAUUUAUUUCACUUCCAGCACAUGCUGAAAGCAUAUACUCUCAGUGGGGAACCCUGCAAACUGACAGAUUUGAGAAGAGAAAUGUUUGAUGUAUAGAGAAAGCAUGGAAGGAAGGAAGAGGGACAGCUAUGUGAAACAGAAAAGAAUGAAGGAUGUGUCUGUUUGCUUUUCUAAGAUGCAUUUUUUCUGACACCAGCAAAUGACAUUUCAUAACCCCAGAAAUACCAACACUAAGUAAAAACCAUGUUUUAAGUGACUGAAAGAAGUACAACAAGAUUGAGUUCAACUGAUAAUGUAAUUCCUGUGGUUUCAGUUCAGUUAUUUUAGGGACAAAAUGGUCUGCAAAGUUUUUUUUGUUGUUGUUGUUUUUUUCUUUUAAUUUAAUGAGAAGUUGAAAUUGCCAUUGCUUUAAUAGUGUCACCACAGUACUUUCAAGGGAACCCAUCGGGUGGCUCGUACAGCUAUUUUUACUUGUUAAUAAAGAGAAGAUGUCACAUGAUUUGCCAGAAAAGCAAAUAUAUUCUUGAUGCUUUAACCUUGUUUAAGUUACUUAAUUUGCAUUCAACACUUAAAGAAACAGCCUCGAUCCGUGGAACGAGCAGAGUGUAUGUGAGAGUGCCCCAUUUAAAUUGGCUAGACAUGGGCAAAGCUGGUUCAGAUGAACAAAAAAGCAAGUAGAAGUGUCAUCGCUUCUAUAUAUUUCAGAUCAAUAAAGCAGAAGAGUGCAGGGGUGAAUUCAGAAACACUCCAAUGAAGUAGCCAUUGAACAUGCACAAAAUAAUGUUUUCAUCUUUGUGUACAGAAAAUUUGCAGAGUUGAACUUUUCAUACUAUUAGUAUUUCAGUAAGUUGUGAUGAAUGUGAGUGGGCUUUGUAGACAUACGUAGUUUAUGACCUGAAUUGAUUGAUCUACACUAUUGCUGCUGAAUAAAAACAUACCUGGGCGUGCAAA